Molecule: long non-coding RNA, 1386 nt
Organism: Physcomitrium patens
Lineage: Eukaryota; Viridiplantae; Streptophyta; Bryopsida; Funariales; Funariaceae
Source: RefSeq, a predicted model, not a curated record
CCUGCUCCUGCUCCUCCUUCUUCUUCUUCAUUCCUCUCGUGACUCUCCUUCGCCACCCCUUCCUGCCUUCCUUCCCUUCCCCAUGCCAUGCCUGCAAUCUAACGAACGCACCACUGCCAUCUCCACCACCACCACCACCUCACUUGCAUUCACUGGAACCUACCUACCUACCUACCUGCCCCCCUUCCCUCCCUCGCCUUACGUUUCUCUGCCUGCCUGCCUGCCUCCCUCCCAGCUAUGUAUGUAUGUAUGUAUGCUCUUCUCACCCUUUCUUCUCCUCUCUUGCUCUUGCUCUUUCGAUCUUUGUUUCUGCACAGUGCUCCCUCCGCUCUCUCAUUCCUUCUCAUAUUCCUCGUUUACAUUCCUGUUCACUCCUUUACACUCCUCCACUUGCUUGAUUUCAUGGCGUUCUGGGGAUCUCUUGGCAGCCCCGGAUUAGUAUGAAUUAUUUUCGGAGGAGGACGGCCUGGGAGAUUCUUCAAUUGAAGGCUACGUAGUCAUCCAAACUUCAAUCUAGUGUACAUGUCAAUUAAACCUAACAGUAACGUUGGUUGGCUUCUUUGGAACUGAAAAGAGUUCCUUGCGUUCAGAUUGAGAGUGGUUUGCAUUUCUAUAAUCGAUGGUUUAAGCCAAGUCUUUCGUGAGGCGCCUUUAGUGACAUAAGGCACUGUUGGCAGAAACUUGAAAAACAAGCAUCUUCAGAGGCGUAUUAUUCAGUAAUCGUCCACUUUGACGAGAUUACAUUCCGUUUUAUUUUUCUGCUUUCCGAUUGCCUCACGAUCCGGCCAAUGCCACUACCUACAGACUUUUGACGAUGUUAUGACAUGUCUCCGACGUUUCAGAGCAUCUACAUACACCAAUUCGGCAUAUUCUAGGCCUGCAAUUCUCUGCCAGUAAAUAUCUGUUGGGAUUUUGAAUUUUUGUUUGUAGGGAUGGCUUUGAAGGUACGAUUUCUGCAACCCUGUGGAACAUGCACCGGACAUAUUUUUCCUGAGCAGAACGUGUUGUAUGCCGCUUCACCUUUACACUGUGAAAGUAUUCCUUUGAUGUGCUUUUCUAGAAUCCAAAACACGUUGAGAGGGUGAAGCUAUAAUUAUAGUUAAAUCUCCUUGUUUCGCUUAACUAGCCGGUGUGGAUGACCAUUCCGCUAAACAAUACCACCAGAAAAUGGAGUGUUUGUGUUACAAUACAGAAUUUUCCUUUCAUGCAUUGUAGCUAAUCGAUUGAUUGUUACCUUUUGUUCAAUGAACGUGAGGAAUAGGAGAUAAUGUAGCCGGCACAUGUGCGGGUGAUGUUCAAUUUUUUUUGAGCUGAAUUUCAAGUUAAAUAUACUUAGUGUGCCGUUUUGUUGAUUUCCAAGAAUAAACCCAUUUCCAAGGCAUUCUG